UGAGAGCCCCGUAUGGUCGGCCGCCUAGCCUGUGUGAAGCUCCUUCGACGAGUCGAGUAGUUUGGGAAUGCUGCUCAAAAUGGGAGGUAAAUUCCUUCUAAAGCUAAAUACUGGCCAGAGACCGAUAGCGCACAAGUAGAGUGAUCGAAAGAUGAAAAGCACUUUGAAAAGAGGGUUAAACAGCACGUGAAAUUGUUGAAAGGGAAGCGCUUGUGACCAGACUUGCGCCGGGCUGAUCAUCCGGUGUUCUCACCGGUGCACUCUACCCGGCUCAGGCCAGCAUCGGUUUUAGCGGGGGGAUAAAGGCCCCGGGAACGUAGCUCCCCCGGGAGUGUUAUAGCCCGGGACGUAAUGCCCCCGCCGGGACCGAGGACCGCGCUUCGGCAAGGAUGCUGGCGUAAUGGUCAUCAGCGACCCGUCUUGAAACACGG
Molecule: ribosomal RNA, 431 nt
Filed under: uncultured fungus
Lineage: Eukaryota; Fungi
Description: LSU rRNA
Rfam family: Eukaryotic large subunit ribosomal RNA
Source: RNAcentral